Long non-coding RNA from Ictalurus punctatus (channel catfish), 112 nucleotides. RefSeq lists it as uncharacterized. The transcript has 2 exons. The record is from RefSeq and is a predicted model, not a curated record. Lineage: Eukaryota; Metazoa; Chordata; Actinopteri; Siluriformes; Ictaluridae.
UACAAACAAAAAGUACUGCUGCUCAGAAGACAUCUCUCAGCAGGAAAUUUAGCCAAUUUUCCCUGUUUUAGAGAGGCAGGCAUGAUGAAAGAGAAGGUACCUGAGUAUGAUG